RNAcentral lists this ribosomal RNA (115 nucleotides) under Candidatus Saccharimonadota bacterium. The record is from RNAcentral. Lineage: Bacteria; Candidatus Saccharimonadota. RNAcentral also lists the same sequence under 1 other name.
UUCGGUGCCCAUAGCGAUCGGGAAACACCUGUUCCCAUCCCGAACACAGAAGUUAAGCCGAUCUACGGUUACAAUACUGCAGCUUAAGCUGUGGGAAAAUAGCAAGGUGCCGAAU